GACGAACGCUGGCGGCGUGCCUAAUACAUGCAAGUAGAACGCACAGUUUAUACCGUAGCUUGCUACACCAUAGACUGUGAGUUGCGAACGGGUGAGUAACGCGUAGGUAACCUGCCUGGUAGCGGGGGAUAACUAUUGGAAACGAUAGCUAAUACCGCAUAAUAUUAAUUACUGCAUGAUAAUUAAUUGAAAGGUGCAAUUGCACCACUACCAGAUGGACCUGCGUUGUAUUAGCUAGUAGGUGAGGUAACGGCUCACCUAGGCGACGAUACAUAGCCGACCUGAGAGGGUGAUCGGCCACACUGGGACUGAGACACGGCCCAGACUCCUACGGGAGGCAGCAGUAGGGAAUCUUCGGCAAUGGACGAAAGUCUGACCGAGCAACGCCGCGUGAGUGAAGAAGGUUUUCGGAUCGUAAAGCUCGGUUGUAAGAGAAGAACGGGUGUGAGAGUGGAAAGUUCACACUGUGACGGUAUCUUACCAGAAAGGGACGGCUAACUACGUG
Molecule: ribosomal RNA, 505 nt
Filed under: uncultured bacterium
Lineage: Bacteria
Description: partial 16S ribosomal RNA
Rfam family: Bacterial small subunit ribosomal RNA
Source: RNAcentral